Molecule: ribosomal RNA, 406 nt
Filed under: uncultured bacterium
Lineage: Bacteria
Description: partial 16S ribosomal RNA
Rfam family: Bacterial small subunit ribosomal RNA
Source: RNAcentral
AUUGAACGCUGGCGGCAGGCCUAACACAUGCAAGUCGAGCGAGCGGCGGACGGGUGAGUAAUGUCUGGGGAACUGCCUGAUGGCGGGGGAUAACUACUGGAAACGGUAGCUAAUACCGCAUACCAUCAGAUGUGCCCAUAUGGGAUUAGCUAGUUGGUGGGGUAACGGCUCACCAAGGCGACGAUCCCUAGCUGGUCUGAGAGGAUGACCAGCCACACUGGGACUGAGACACGGUCCAGACUCCUACGGGAGGCAGCAGUGGGGAAUAUUGCACAAUGGGCGCAAGCCUGAUGCAGCCAUGCCGCGUGUAUGAAGAAGGCCUUCGGGUUGUAAAGUACUUUCAGCCGGGAGGCGUUACCGGCAGAAGAAGCACCGGCUAACUCCGUGCCAGCAGCCGCGGUAAUUC